AUGACCGAAACCACCAGGAUGCCCGGACUGGGACAGAUCCCCCCCGACCACUCAGCCUCACAGAGGAACUGCCCCUGCUCACACCUUGGACUGGGACAGAUUCCCCCUCAGCCUCACAGAGGAACUGCCCCUGCUCACACCUUGGACUGGGACAGAUUCCCCCUCAGCCUCACAGAGGAACUGCCCCUGCUCACACCCUGGACUGGGACAGAUCCCCCCCGACCACCCAGCCUCACAGAGGAACUGCCCCUGCUCACACCCUGGACUGGGACAGAUUCCCCCCGACCACCCAGCCUCACAGAGGAACUGCCCCUGCUCACACCCCGGACUGGGACAGAUCCCCCCUCAGCCCACAGAGGAACUGCCCCUGCUCACACCCUGACUGGGACAGAUUCCCUCAGCCUCACAGAGAGGAACUGCCCCUGCUCACGCCUUGGACUGGGACAGAUCCCCCCCGACCACCCAGCCUCAUACAGAGGAACUGCCCCGCUCACACCUCCUGGACUGACAGAUCCCCCUCAGCCCCCACAGAGGAACUGCCCUGCUCACACCCUUCUGGACUGGGACACAGAUUCCUCUGACCACUCCAGCCUCACAGGAGGAACUGCCUCCUGCUCACACCCUGACCGGGACAGAUCCCUCAGCCUCACAGAGGAACUGCCCCCUCGCUCACACCCCUGGACUCGGGACAGAUUCCCCUCAGCCUCACAGAGGAACUGCCCCUGCUCACGCCUUGGACUGGGACAGAUCCCCCCCGACCACCCAGCCUCACAGAGGAACUGCCCCUGCUCACGCCUUGGACUGGGACAGAUCCCCCCCGACCACCCAGCCCCCACAGAGGAACUGGGUUCUGCUCACACCUCCUGACUGGGACAGAUCCCCCCGACCACCCAGCCUCACAGAGGAACUGCCCCUGCUCACACCCUGGACUGGGACAGAUUCCCCUCAGCCUCAGAGGAACUGCCCCUGGCUCACCCCUGGACUGGGACAGAUUCCCCCCCCGACCACCCAGCCUCACAGAAGGAACUGAUCCUGCUCAUGCCUUGAUCUUGGACUUCAGGUCUCCAGAAUCGUGAGACAAUAGACUUCGGUUUCAGACAGCCAGUCUGCGGGACUUUGUCAUGGCAGCCCUAGGAACAGGGAAAAGCAGACCCCUUCCGCGUGCCAGGCGCCCUGUGCAUGAGCAGACGUGUGCACUGGGCCGCCUGACUGUAACACAGGAAUUAACCAAUCUGCAGAUGAGAAAACAGGCUCCUGGGUAUGGAGCCUGGAAACAGGAUUUGAAGGUGGAGACAGGAGUGUAACAUGAUUUCAGGCCCUGGAGCUGAUGGUCUUUGAUCCUUCCCUCUCUUUUUUUUUUUUGAGACAGAGUCUUGCUCUGUUGCCCAGGCUGGAGUGCAGUGGUGCGAUCUCCACUCACUGCAAGCUCUGCUUCCCGGGUUCACACCAUUCUCCUGCCUCAGCCUCCUGUGUAGCUGGGACUACAGGCGCCCGCCACCACGCCCGGCUCAUUUUCUUAAAAUGUAUUUUUAGUAGAGAUGGGGUUUCACCGUGUUAGCCAGGAGGGUCUCGAUCUCCUGACCUCGUGAUCCGCCCGUCUCAGCCUCCCAAAGUGCUGGGAUUACAGGCCUGAGCCACCGCACCCGGCCUGAUCCUUCCCUCUCUAAAGCUGAAGCUACUGCUUGUGGGUGGGGGGACCUGGAUCUUGGAGGCGGGCACUGGAGGGGACCCAUAAGCCUGGAGCCGGCGGGGCUGGGUGGGGGUUUAUUUAUGUUUGCUUGUUUCCAAACUCCAGAGUCGCUGAGGCAUGCUUUACACACAGCAACAUUCGCCUUUCAUACACCUUCUGUGGGUUUUGGAAAACAGUUCAUGGUCAUGUAACUGACAAGGCACUGGAGAUACAGAACGGUUCUCUUACCCACAAAGUUCCCUGAAACCCUUGGGUAGUCAGUUCCUUAUCCAAACCCCAGCCUGUGGCCACGCUGACCUAUUUUUGUCCCUGUAGUUCUGUCUUUUCUGAAAUGUCAUAUGAAGGAAUCGUGCAGUGCAUCGGCUUUUAAAUCUGGCUUUUUUCACAUGCAGUGUGCUCUGGGAUUCUUCUGUUUCACUGUGUGUGUCAAGAGCUUGCUCCUUUUUUAUGACUGGGAAGUAUUCCAUUGCAUGGAACUUAUUUCGAGUUCGUUUUCAUGUGUGAUAUGAGGUGAAGGUCUAAGGGGUUUCUCUUUUUUUGCCUAUGGAUACUUCAUUGUUCCAGCACCACUUGGAGGCUGAGGCAGGCAGAUCACCUGAGGUCAGGAGUUCGAGACCAGCCUGACCAACAUGCCGAAACACUAUCUCUACUAAAUAUACAAAAAUUAGCCGAGUAUGGUGGCUCACGCCUGUAAUCCCAGCUGCUUGGGAGGCGGAGGCAGGAGAAUGGCUUGAAUUUAAUCACUGAUUAAAUUGCAUUGGCAUUAAAAAGUAUGAGUUUAGACUCUUAGCCCUACUCGGUUGACCUGUAUGUCUAUCCCUACUGCAAUACUUCUAUGUCUGGCCAGGCACGGUGGGUCACACCUGUAAUCCCAGCACUCUGGGAGGUGGAGGCGAGCAGAUCACCUGAGGUCAGGAGUUCAAGACCAGCCUGGAAAAUCUGGUGGAACCCCAUCUCUACUAAAAAUGCAAACAAAUUUAGCCGGCAUGGUGGUGUGCACCUGUAAUCCCAGCUACUCGGGAGGCUGAGGCAGGAGAAUCACUUGAACCCAGGAGGCAGAGGCUGCAGUGAGCCGAGAUCUUGCCACUGCACUCCAGCUUGGGAGACACAGCAAGAUUCCAUCUCAAAACAAACAAACAAACAAACAAACACAAAAAAGCAAACAAACAAAAAAUUACCUUGUCUUAAUUAGUGAGCAUUAUCAUAGGUUUCAAAACCUGGUGAUGCAAAUCCUCCAAUUGUGAUCUUUUCAAAAUUGUUUAAGGCAUUGUGGAUCCUCUCUAUCUCCAUAUGCAUUUUAUGAUCAGCUUUUCAGUUUCUUCAAAAUUGACUGUUGGGAAUUUGAUAAGAGUAUGUGUUGACUAUAUUCCAAUUGACUCAAAUUGCCCC
RNAcentral lists this long non-coding RNA (3079 nucleotides) under Papio anubis (olive baboon). RNAcentral describes it as "lncRNA (ENSPANG00000040444.1)". Lineage: Eukaryota; Metazoa; Chordata; Mammalia; Primates; Cercopithecidae. The record is from RNAcentral.